This 25-nucleotide unclassified non-coding RNA is filed under the name Mus musculus (house mouse). Its description in RNAcentral is "oocyte_clustered_small_RNA8942". The record is from RNAcentral. Lineage: Eukaryota; Metazoa; Chordata; Mammalia; Rodentia; Muridae.
CGCACUUUCGCCAUGGUAGCGCAGG